This 505-nucleotide long non-coding RNA is filed under the name Taeniopygia guttata (zebra finch). Its description in RNAcentral is "lncRNA (ENSTGUG00000020181.1)". The record is from RNAcentral. Lineage: Eukaryota; Metazoa; Chordata; Aves; Passeriformes; Estrildidae.
AACAUCACCUCGCUGUUGGAACACUUGAGGCGGUCUGGGAGAUGUCCAGGGUCCUGAAACGGCAGAGCUGAGGUCACGCAGCAGGGAGAGCAUCCCUGAGACAGAAACGUCUCCUACCUGAGGGCAUGGGCUUCUCCCUGCCUGCAGCACCACGAGGAUCCUGCUGAGCGAGCACAGGGGGAGCACAAGGGAGCAGCUCUGGGAUGAUGCCCUGGGUGCUUCUGCAUGGCUGUGGAAUAAGGUCCAGCUGACAAGCAAGCCUGGGGAGCUGUGGAAGAAAAGUGCCCAGAGGAGAACAAGGAAUACAGUGCAGUCAGCUGGAGGUUUCAUUGGAAGGCACACACACACCCAGGGUUUAAAGGAUGAAGGGAACGUAAUUCAGCAGAUUCCUUUGGAGCAGCACUUGUUCUCCUGGCUGACAGAGGGACCAGAAAAAAUGGUAAGAAAACUCCUUUUAACUGCAAAGCUUGUCUUCAAUUCUCUCCCUCCCUAUUUUGUUUGGUUU